AGAGUUUGAUCAUGGCUCAGGAUGAACGCUGGCGGCGUGCCUAACACAUGCAAGUCGAACGGACCGAGGCGAGCUUGCUCGAAUCGGCCAGUGGCGGACGGGUGAGUAACGCGUGGGUAACCUGCCGUAUACAGGGGGAUAACACUUAGAAAUAGGUGCUAAUACCGCAUAAGCGCACGGUAUCGCAUGAUACAGUGUGAAAAGCCGAGACGGUAUACGAUGGACCCGCGUCUGAUUAGCCGGUUGGCGGGGUAACGGCCCACCAAAGCAACGAUCAGUAGCCGGCCUGAGAGGGUGGACGGCCACAUUGGGACUGAGACACGGCCCAAACUCCUACGGGAGGCAGCAGUGGGGGAUAUUGCACAAUGGGGGGAACCCUGAUGCAGCGACGCCGCGUGAGUGAAGAAGUAUUUCGGUAUGUAAAGCUCUAUCAGCAGGGAAGAAAAUGACGGUACCUGAGUAAGAAGCACCGGCUAAAUACGUGCCAGCAGCCGCGGUAAUACGUAUGGUGCAAGCGUUAUCCGGAUUUACUGGGUGUAAAGGGAGCGUAGACGGCGUGACAAGUCUGAAGUGAAAGCCCGGGGCUCAACCGCGGGACUGCUUUGGAAACUGCCAUGCUGGAGUGCAGGAGAGGUAAGUGGAAUUCCUGGUGUAGCGGUGAAAUGCGUAGAUAUCAGGAGGAACACCGGCGGCGAAUGCGGCUUACUGGACUGUAACUGACGUUGAGGCUCGAAGGCGUGGGGAGCAAACAGGAUUAGAUACCCUGGUAGUCCACGCGGUAAACGAUGAUCACUAGGUGU
RNAcentral lists this ribosomal RNA (800 nucleotides) under uncultured bacterium. RNAcentral's name for it is "bacterial SSU rRNA". It matches the Rfam family "Bacterial small subunit ribosomal RNA", at positions 8 to 823 of the family's 1533-position model. The record is from RNAcentral.